Molecule: ribosomal RNA, 254 nt
Filed under: uncultured bacterium
Lineage: Bacteria
Description: partial 16S ribosomal RNA
Rfam family: Bacterial small subunit ribosomal RNA
Source: RNAcentral
GAGUUUGAUCCUGGCUCAGGAUGAACGCUGGCGGCGUGCUUAACACAUGCAAGUCGAACGAAGCACUUGAAUGGAAUUCUUCGGAUGAAGACCUUUGUGACUGAGCAGCGGACGGGUGAGUAACGCGUGGGUAACCUGCCUCAUACAGGGGGAUAACAGUUAGAAAUGACUGCUAAUACCGCAUAAGACCACAGUACCGCAUGGUACAGGGGUAAAACUCCGGUGGUAUGAGAUGGACCCCGCGUCUGAUUAGC